CCCUCCAAGGAAAACAUGCAAAUGGUGAUAAUGCAUGGGUUGGCAUAGAUGGGAACACUGGUGAAAUCACUGAUAUGAAUGAGAGGAAGGUAUGAUAGUAUUGUUUCUUAUAUCCAUCACGAUAGAACUUUGUUCUCCUAUUACUGGCAUUCUUUUUUUUAUUCAUUUGACUCUUUGAGAAUUGAAGUUAAAACCGCACAGCCUAAAGAUGACUCUAGUACCACUAGACUAAGCUUAUUGGAACUAGCGUUCUCUUUUUGAUAUACAGGAUACGCAAUUUGUGUGAUGCAGUCGACUCAUUUAGCUGAUUAUUCUUUUUACAUGCAUCUGGACUGAAUGGAAUAUGUUUUAGCUUAUUAUUUAAUAUAUGUGCACUGUGAUCUUUUCUCAGAUUCUUGUAUAAAAUUCUACUGGAAGAAACCACCCAUUUUUAGUGAUCUGAUAACUGUUUGAUUACAUCAUCAGAUUUGGGAUGCCUAUAAUGUGA
RNAcentral lists this unclassified non-coding RNA (487 nucleotides) under Hevea brasiliensis (rubber tree). The record is from RNAcentral. Lineage: Eukaryota; Viridiplantae; Streptophyta; Magnoliopsida; Malpighiales; Euphorbiaceae.